Molecule: unclassified non-coding RNA, 1718 nt
Filed under: uncultured fungus
Lineage: Eukaryota; Fungi
Description: sequence contains 18S rRNA gene, ITS1, 5.8S rRNA gene, ITS2, 28S rRNA gene
Rfam family: Eukaryotic large subunit ribosomal RNA (bases 604-1718)
Source: RNAcentral
GGAAGGAUCAUUGACAAAUCUAUAAACAACACGCUGUGGUGUGUGGUGUGGUGGUGCCAUCAUCACUGGUGCGCGCCCCCCCCCCACACACACACAACAUUCUAACCUGUGAAUCGGCUGCCAGCCUCGGCUGUGCUGCUCGUGUGGCUGCUUGCAUAUGCAUGCGUGCCCCAACACAUUUACCUUUGUGUCUUAUCUCAAUAACAACAAUACAAUACAACUUUUAGCAAUGGAUCUCUUGGCUUCUGUAACGAUGAAGAACGCAGUGAAAUGCGAUAACUAAUGUGAAUUGCAUUAUCUCGUGAAUCAUCGAGUCUUUGAACGCAUCUUGCACCUUUCAGGUCUCCUGAAAGGUAUACUUGUUUGAGUAUCAUGAACAUUUCUCCAAGUUUGCUCUUGGGAGUUGAGACGUCAAGUUAGCUACUAACAUGUGUCUUUUAAGUGAUAUGCAAAGCGUUCCGCGCGCGCACCUCUGUGUGUGCACGGGGAAGCCCAACAAUCAAAUGUGAGAUAGAUAUCGCACAAAGUAGUUGUGACGGGUCAAGCUUGGCUACGCCUGGAAGGGGAGAGAGGCUUUCUCUCUGCUUCACUUCUUGAACUCUGUGAUCUCAAAUCAAGUAAGACUACCCGCUGAACUUAAGCAUAUCAGUAAGCGGAGGAAAAGAAACUAACAAGGAUUCCCCCAGUAACGGCGAGUGAAGAGGGAAGAGCUCAAAUUUAAAAUCUGUAAGGCUUCCUUACCGAAUUGUAGUUUAUAGAUGUGCUUUCUUGGUGCAGCGCUUGGUAUAAGUCUCUUGGAAAAGAGCAUCAAAGAGGGUGAUAAUCCCGUAUUUGGCCUUGCAGCUGCGCCUGUAUGAUGCGCAUUCCAAGAGUCGGAUUGUUUGGGAAUGCAGUCCUAAAUGGGUGGUAAAUUUCAUCUAAAGCUAAAUAUUGACAGAAGACCGAUAGCGAACAAGUACCGUGAGGGAAAGAUGAAAAGAACUUUGAAAAGAGAGUUAAAAGUACGUGAAAUUGCUAAAGGGGAAACGAUCAAAGUCAGUAUUGCGCCUGGAAACUCAGCCAACGCUAGAGGAGGCUGCGAGUGUAGAGAGUGUCAAAGCCUCUUGCUUGCUGCCGCACUUGUACGUUGGUGCAUUUUUCUUGUGUGUGUGCAAGUCAACAUCAGUUUGGGUCGUGCUGGAUAAGGCUUGGAGGAAGGUGGGUGCUGCUCUCGGGUAGCAUCUUUAUAGACUCUUUGCUGUAACAGUGGCCCGGACUGAGGAACGCAAUCCAAAGCCGCAAGGCUGGAUCAGCCCCAAGCAUGUUUGCGGCGCAAGAGUACUCAGCACGCUGGCUGCUCUUGCGCUUGUGGACGGUCCUUGGAGCGCGAUACCAUUGGGAUUUAGGAUGUUGACGAAAUGGCUUUGACCGACCCGUCUUGAAACACGGACCAAGGAGUCUACCAAUUGUGCGAGUGUUUGAGUGUUAAACUCAAGCGCGUAACGAAAGUGAUUAUGAGGUGGGAUCCGCAAGGUGCACCACUAGCCAGUCAUUGACUUGUCUUUGAUUGAGCACGAGCACAACUGUUAGGACCCGAAAGAUGGUGAACUAUGCCUGAAUAGGGUGAAGUCAGAGGAAACUCUGAUGGAAGCUCGUAGCGGUUCUGACGUGCAAAUCGAUCGUCAAAUUUGGGUAUAGGGGCGAAAGACUAAUCGAACCAUCUAGUAGCUGGUUCCCUC